AGCUUUGUACAGUGGCAGUAUCGUAGUCAAUGAGGUUUAUCCAAGGCGCGAUUGUUGCUAAUUGAAAGAAAAAAAUAGCUAAACAUUUUAGCUUUGAUUUUUCUGAAAGGAA
This 112-nucleotide small nuclear RNA is filed under the name Ursus maritimus (polar bear). Its description in RNAcentral is "U4 spliceosomal RNA (ENSUMAG00000008284.1)". It matches the Rfam family "U4 spliceosomal RNA". From Rfam's summary of the family: U4 small nuclear RNA (U4 snRNA) is a component of the major U2-dependent spliceosome. The structure of U4 snRNA from yeast and human has been reported. U4 snRNA presents a k-turn RNA motif in the 5p-SL related to recognition of Snu13 protein. Lineage: Eukaryota; Metazoa; Chordata; Mammalia; Carnivora; Ursidae. The record is from RNAcentral.